GACGAACGCUGGCGGCGUGCUUAACACAUGCAAGUCGAACGGAAAGGCCCCCUUGUGGGGUACUCGAGUGGCGAACGGGUGAGUAACACGUGAGUAACCUACCCUUGACUUUGGGAUAACUUCAGUAAACUGGGGCUAAUACCGGAUAGGAGCUCCUGCUGCAUGGUGGGGGUUGGAAAGUUUCGGCGGUUGGGGAUGGACUCGCGGCUUAUCAGCUUGUUGGUGGGGUAGUGGCUCACCAAGGCUUUGACGGGUAGCCGGCCUGAGAGGGUGACCGGCCACAUUGGGACUGCGAUACGGACCAGACUCCUACGGGAGGCAGCAGUGGGGAAUAUUGCACAAUGGGCGGAAGCCUGAUGCAGCAACGCCGCGUGCGGGAUGACGGCCUUCGGGUUGUAAACCGCUUUCGCCUGUGACGAAGCGUGAGUGACGGUAAUGGGUAAAGAAGCACCGGCUAACUACGUG
This 465-nucleotide ribosomal RNA is filed under the name uncultured bacterium. RNAcentral describes it as "partial 16S ribosomal RNA". It matches the Rfam family "Bacterial small subunit ribosomal RNA", at positions 28 to 507 of the family's 1533-position model. The record is from RNAcentral.